GUGCUUGCUUUGGCAGCACGUAUACUAAAAUUGGAAUGAUACAGAGAAGAUUAGCAUGGCCUCUGCACAAGGUUGACACGCAAAUUCGUGAAGUGUUCCAUAUAAAA
RNAcentral lists this small nuclear RNA (107 nucleotides) under Castor canadensis (American beaver). Lineage: Eukaryota; Metazoa; Chordata; Mammalia; Rodentia; Castoridae. The record is from RNAcentral.